RNAcentral lists this small nuclear RNA (162 nucleotides) under Sphenodon punctatus (tuatara). Its description in RNAcentral is "U4 spliceosomal RNA (ENSSPUG00000007372.1)". It matches the Rfam family "U4 spliceosomal RNA". Rfam says of the family: U4 small nuclear RNA (U4 snRNA) is a component of the major U2-dependent spliceosome. Lineage: Eukaryota; Metazoa; Chordata; Lepidosauria; Sphenodontia; Sphenodontidae. The record is from Rfam by way of RNAcentral.
GGGUUUUCACAGUGGCAGUAUCCUAGCUCAUGAGGUAAAACGGAGGCAUGAUUAUUGCUAAUUGCAAACUUUUCCCAAUACCCUGCUAUUUAGGUUUUGGAUAGGUUACUUCGGGUGAACUCAAAUGUAACUGCUAAAUUCUGAUGUCUGCAGGCCCCCAGA